UCUCCGUUGGUGAAUCAGCGGAGGGAUCAUUACAGAGUUGCAAAACUCCCAAACCAUUGUGAACGUUACCUAUCCCGUUGCUUCGGCGGGCGGCCCGGGCCCCGCGCCCGGCGCCCCCCGGCCCCCCGUGGGCGCCCGCCGGAGGUAAACCAAACCCUUGAAUUGCAUGGCCUCUCUGAGUCUUCUGUACUGAAUAAGUCAAAACUUUCAACAACGGAUCUCUUGGUUCUG
This 231-nucleotide unclassified non-coding RNA is filed under the name plant metagenome. Its description in RNAcentral is "partial contains small subunit ribosomal RNA, internal transcribed spacer 1, and 5.8S ribosomal RNA". The record is from RNAcentral.